This 253-nucleotide ribosomal RNA is filed under the name uncultured bacterium. Its description in RNAcentral is "partial 16S ribosomal RNA". It matches the Rfam family "Bacterial small subunit ribosomal RNA", at positions 524 to 776 of the family's 1533-position model. The record is from RNAcentral.
UACGUAGGGGGCUAGCGUUAUCCGGAAUUACUGGGCGUAAAGGGUGCGUAGGUGGUUUUUUAAGUCAGGGGUGAAAUCCUGGAGCUCAACUCCAGAACUGCCUUUGAUACUGAGGAUCUUGAGUUCGGGAGAGGUGAGUGGAACUGCGAGUGUAGAGGUGAAAUUCGUAGAUAUUCGCAAGAACACCAGUGGCGAAGGCGGCUCUCUGGCCCGAUACUGACGCUGAGGCACGAAAGCGUGGGGAGCAAACAGG